UACGGGGGGUGCGAGCGUUGUCCGGAAUCACUGGGCGUAAAGGGCGCGUAGGUGGUCUGAUAAGGGUGUGGUGAAAGCCCGGGGCUCAACCCCGGGUCGGCCGUGCCGACUGUUAGUCUAGAGUGCUGUAGGGGCAGGCGGAAUUCCGGGUGUAGCGGUGGAAUGCGUAGAGAUCCGGAGGAAGACCGGUGGCGAAGGCGGCCUGCUGGGCAGUUACUGACACUGAGGCGCGACAGCGUGGGGAGCAAACAGG
This 253-nucleotide ribosomal RNA is filed under the name uncultured bacterium. RNAcentral's name for it is "partial 16S ribosomal RNA". It matches the Rfam family "Bacterial small subunit ribosomal RNA", at positions 524 to 776 of the family's 1533-position model. The record is from RNAcentral.